GACGAACGCUGGCGGCGUGCCUAACACAUGCAAGUCGAACGGAAAGGCCUCUUUCGGGGAGUACUCGAGUGGGGAACGGGCGAGUAACACGUGAGUAACCUGUCCUUGUCUUUGGGGUAAAUUCCGGAAAGUGGGGCAUACACAGGCUAGAUGCAACUGUUGCAUGGUGGGGGUUGGAAUGAAUCGGCGGUUGGGGAUGGACUCGGGGCUUAUCAGCUUGUUUGUGGGGUAGUGGCUUACAAAGGCUGUGAAGGGUAGCCGGCCUGAGGGGGGGACCGGGCACAUUGGGACUGAGAGACGGCGCAGUCGCGUAUGGUAGGCAGCAGUGGAGAGUAUUGCACAAUGGGGGGAAGCCUGAGGCGGAAACGCCCUGUUCGGGAUGACGGGCUUCUGGUGGAAAACCGCGGUCGCUCUGGACGGAGCAUUGUGUGACGGUAGUGAGUAAAGAAGCACCGGCUAACUACGUG
RNAcentral lists this ribosomal RNA (467 nucleotides) under uncultured bacterium. RNAcentral's name for it is "partial 16S ribosomal RNA". It matches the Rfam family "Bacterial small subunit ribosomal RNA", at positions 28 to 507 of the family's 1533-position model. The record is from RNAcentral.